AUUGAACGCUGGCGGCAGGCCUGACACAUGCAAGUCGAACGGUAACAGGAAGAAGCUUGCUUCUUUGCUGACGAGUGGCGGACGGGUGAGUAAUGUCUGGGAAACUGCCUGAUGGAGGGGGAUAACUACUGGAAACGGUAGCUAAUACCGCAUAACGUCGCAAGACCAAAGAGGGGGACCUUCGGGCCUCUUGCCAUCGGAUGUGCCCAGAUGGGAUUAGCUAGUAGGUGGGGUAACGGCUCACCUAGGCGACGAUCCCUAGCUGGUCUGAGAGGAUGACCAGCCACACUGGAACUGAGACACGGUCCAGACUCCUACGGGAGGCAGCAGUGGGGAAUAUUGCACAAUGGGCGCAAGCCUGAUGCAGCCAUGCCGCGUGUAUGAAGAAGGCCUUCGGGUUGUAAAGUACUUUCAGCGGGGAGGAAGGGAGUAAAGUUAAUACCUUUACUCAUUGACGUUACCCGCAGAAGAAGCACCGGCUAACUCCGUG
Molecule: ribosomal RNA, 490 nt
Filed under: uncultured bacterium
Lineage: Bacteria
Description: partial 16S ribosomal RNA
Rfam family: Bacterial small subunit ribosomal RNA
Source: RNAcentral